This is a long non-coding RNA of Cervus elaphus (red deer), 450 nucleotides long. RefSeq lists it as uncharacterized. Lineage: Eukaryota; Metazoa; Chordata; Mammalia; Artiodactyla; Cervidae. The record is from RefSeq and is a predicted model, not a curated record. The transcript is spliced from 4 exons.
CUCUGAGCUCCUCCAGUAACUAAGAAGGCAGUACUGAGGGGCAAAAUCCUUCCAUCCCAAGAUUUUAGUUUCAAGAUCUCUUUUCCAAUAGCUCAAGUGGCUCAGUGGAAAAGAAUCCACCUGCAAUGCAGAAGAUGCAGAAGACAUGGGUUCAUUCCCUGAAUCAAAAAUCACCUGAUUUCUGAUGGCAUGGCAACCCACUCCAGUAUUCUUGCCAAGAAAAUCCCAUGGACAGAGGAACCUGGCAGGCUAUGACCCAUGGGAUCACAAAGAGUCAGAAACGACUAAGCAACCAACUAAAAUAUACACACCUGUAUUCUCCAAGCUAGUGUUCACCAGUACAUGAACCAAGAACUCCCAGAUGUUCCAGUUGGAUUUAGAAAAGGCAGAGGAACCAGCGAUCAAAUUGCCAACAUCCGUUGGAUCAUAGAAAAAGCUAGAGAAUUCCAG